UUUAAAGGCCACAGCUUAGUCAUCUGUCUUUUCAUUGUUUUUGUAAAAGGGCUACAUGCUGUGACUUUAGCCUCUUAGCCUCUCCUCCCUUGAAAAUAAUUUUUGUUCUCUUAUCAUGUAACAAACACUCCUUUGGUCUGUUAUUCAUUGGCAGAAAUAUUUGACUUAUCAGAAGCAGUCAGCUAGUGAUUGUGUUGGAUCAAAGUCAAACUAUACAGCAUUCAGUUACUAAACAGAACGCAGCUGGUUAGGAAAGAAGAAAUUGACAGGCAGUGAUUAGACUGGACAAAAUACAUCUCUGCAAGAUGUCGAGCAGAGAUUUCGCCCUAAGGACUCAAAGAACAGCCAGAUAAUUCCGUGGCAAAAUACUUGGAGAAGUCCUUUCUCCUUGUUGUGAGCUUUCUAGAACUACGCAAAAAUUCCUUUAACAACAACUGCAAGUAAAGAAACAUUGGAAGUUGUCUUGAAACAAACUUAAAGUCAUGCACUGAGAGAGCUCUCCUUCGCCCUUCCCCUCCCUUAAAGCUACAAAAUAGAUUCUUAUGGGGAAGAAAAUGAGACGAAUUGCCGGAAUAAAGGGAUAAAGCUCUAUAGAAAAUGUAUGGUCACCUAAUGUAAACGGGAGUUUUGACGGCAGCCAGUGUUUGCAAAAAACUUGCCUUAAGAGUUUAUGUUGUGACUUUGAACUGGAGGGUACCAAACAUCGUUUUCAAAUAAAUUUUUCAAUGAUAACCGCUCUGAAUGUACACGAUCAACUGUCGAUUCAUUCUUACCAGAUCAUUAUAAAAAUGGAAACUUUUCUCCUGACCCUUUUCACGAUCGUUUUUGAGCCAUUUUAACCCAGAGUAAGAAAAGGCCCGUCAUACUUCAGAAGUUCUGCUUCCCGACAUGCUCCGUGAAACCGAUUGGAAAUCAAAGGGGUGAAGUGAAACAUACUUAAUUUCAUUCGCACCAUCUUUCGUCCUCGCUGCUAAAAAUUGUGUUUUAGCGAACUCCCAAUCUCACCCAAAAUAGAUCUCAUUCGUCCGCUGGUUUAUUUCUCAGUCCAUAAAAAAUACCCUCGAAAGCUGUUUCAGCCCACGAAAACGGAGCAACAAUUUGAGAGCAUCAAGUGUAAUUGAGGUUUUUCUAGAUUUCGCAAUAGUUCGUGCCUUUUGUUUUCACUGUCUGUAUCAACAGAGGAACUCGCUUGGUCGUCUGAUUUGUCUACAGUGGGAUGUUGGAUUGCAUAUUAUCCUCUUCCAAAUAUUCUUUUCAGUUAAAUUUGAGAACUCGGAAGACAACUAUACUGUGCUGGUUGAUUAAGAAAAGGCUGCUUCCUCGACUUUUCCUGAAUUAUUGGGGAAUUUGAAAGACUAAGAGACUUGAGUUGAAAAGUGGCCGAUAAUUGAAAACAAUUGGGCAGUGCAAGACCCGGAACAAACUCGGAGACAACGGAAGCCGCUAAAGAAACGCUCCUAGAAACGAUCAUGAUUCCCGGACUUGCCUACUUUUUGAUCUGUUACGAGCCACUCUGUCAAUUUACCCUUGAUACGCAAUUAUAAAAUAUUUUCAAUAGUGAUCUUCGUUAUCUAGUUUUCAUCGUUUACUUCAGUUUUUCAUUUAUCCCCAGCAUAGAACAAAAGAAAUAAGUUCGUUUAACUGUUAAAACAGCGUUCUGAUAUUUUUUAAUGUACUUUGUAUCGGAAAGAGGUUAAGUGUACGAUGACAUUGUAAUACCCCUGUUCCGUCUUUUGGAAGUCCCCUCUCCCUACACUAUGUGUAUAUUUUAGAGUUUUCUUUCUUACAUCACUUUAAAAAUAUGCUUUAUAUAUGAUACAUGUAUAUUUCUACAAAUUAGAAAUGAAAAACCGAAAAGUCAA
Molecule: long non-coding RNA, 1862 nt
Organism: Stylophora pistillata
Lineage: Eukaryota; Metazoa; Cnidaria; Anthozoa; Scleractinia; Pocilloporidae
Source: RefSeq, a predicted model, not a curated record